UGCUUGAUUACAACUGUAAACUUCUCCGUUCCAUACCUCAAAAUGGCAAAUCAGAAACUUUCACAAGCAUUCAAGAGAUCCAAUCCAACAAUUCCCACUUCAAUAUUAAGCCAAGAAAUUGCAGAAAAAAUCACUAAAAUCCUUAUCAAAUCAGGUCUAAAACCCCUUGAGACCAAAUCAUCUCUGCUUUCGAAUCUCGAUUCUUACACAACCAAUCUUGUUCUCUCCAACCCAAAUCUCCCAACUCGUUCUUGCUUGAACUUCUUCAAAUGUCUUCAGAAAAACCAGUCCCUUAUUUGUCAUAAACCUGAUCUUCGAGCCCAUGUAAUCCUUAUUUCUAGACUUUUUAAGGCUAGAAAAUUUGUAGUGAUGAAGAAUGUGUUAACUUGCUAUGCGAUGGAUAAAAAUCUCCGGUGCUCAGUCUCAGACUUCGUUUCCUUGAUUGACAAUAGGUUUCAUGAACCAAAAUUUGUUGAAAAGUUAUGUGAUAUGUUGUUUAGAGUUUAUGUAGAUAAUAGCAUGUUCGAAGAGGGUUUUAAGGUUUUUGAUUAUAUGGUGCAUAAUGGGUUAAAGAUUGAUGAUAGGUCUUGUAUAGUGUGUUUACUUGCAUUGAAGAGAAGUGAUCAAAUGGUGAUGUCUUUGGGCUUCUUUAAAAAAAUGGUUGAGUUUAAGGUGGAUGUUACUGUCUAUUCUAUGACAAUUGUGAUUGAUGGCUUGUGUAAGAAAGGAAGGGUUGAGAGGGCUAAGGAUUUGAUGCUUGAAAUGACUGGUAAAGGGAUUAAACCAAACGUUGUCACGUAUAAUACCCUAGUUAAUGCCUACAUUAAAAUUAUGGAUUUUGAAGGUGUUAAUGAGAUGCUAAGAUUGAUGGAGAUGGAUAAAGUUGUGUAUAAUGCUGCUACAUAUACACUUUUAAUUGAAUGGUAUGGCAGCUCCGGCAAGAUUGCUGAAGCUGAGAAAGUGUUUGAAAAAAUGCUUGAGAGAGGCGUAGAAGCAGAUAUACAUGUGUUUACUUCAAUUAUUAGUUGGCAAUGUAAGCUGGGGAAUAUGAAAAGAGCUUUUGCGCUGUUUGAUGAGCUGAAUGAGAGAGGCCUUGUUGCAAAUGCUCACACUUAUGGCGCUUUGAUUCAUGGCACUUGCAAUUCCGGACAAUUGGAUGCGGCUGAGAUGUUGGUGAAUGAAAUGCAAAGUCAAGGUCUGGAUAUGAAUUUGGUGAUAUUUAAUACACUUAUAAAUGGGUAUUGCAAAAAAGGAAUGAUAGAUGAAGCUCUAAGGAUGCAGGAUGUAAUGGAGAAGAAAGGAUUUGAGAAUGAUAUAUUCACUUAUAAUACCAUUGCUGGUGGGUUGUGUAAAUUGAAUAGGCAUGAGGAAGCAAAGAGGUGGUUAUUUACAAUGGUAGAAAAAGGUGUGGACCCUAAUGCUGUGAGUUUUACUAUUAUGAUAGACAUACACUGCAAGGAAGGGAACUUGGUGGAAGCAGAGAGGGUUUUUCAAGACAUGAAGAAAAAGGGAGAGAAGCCGAAUGUUGUUACAUAUAACACUUUAAUAGAUGGGUAUAGCAAGAAAGGGAAGCUGAAAGAAGCAUACAGGCUAAAAGAUGAAAUGGAAAGUAUCGGAAUGACUUCAGAUAUCUAUACAUACACAACACUUGUGCACGGGGAAUGUGUUUUCGGGAAGGUAGAAGAGGCCUUGACUCUGCUUAAUGAAGUCUGUCGAAAGGGUUUGGCUAUUAGCAUAGUAACUUACACAGCAAUCAUAUCCGGCUUGUCCAAGGAGGGAAGAUCAGAAGAAGCUUUUAGAUUGUACGAUGAGAUGAUGGCAGCAGGGCUGACCCCUGAUGACAGGGUAUAUACUUCCCUUGUGGCGAACCUUCACAAGACUUAGUUUGGGGGAUUGGCAUCAAACCAUUGACUAGAGAACAUCUAUUAUCUCUUGGGAAGAGUAACCGAAGUAAAGAGGUCAUAUAUUCAGGAAUGAGAUUAUGAUUGAACCAAUAGGGAUGCAAAACAUGCUGGACUUCCAGAUGAAAAACUGAGAAAGUUGCAUUUUAUGGAAAAAGUGCCACUUCAAUACAAAAUUUCUCUGGGCAGAACAAAAUAUUACUUUUCAGGGAUAUGCUCCAUACUUUCUGAGGAACAGAUGGAAAAACAUUUUGAAAGUGAAACUAGCAAUACAUUGGAGCUUGGCAUCUGGAAGGGGCAAACAUAGCAAGGUUAGGAGCAAGAGGUGCCGCACUAGCGAGUACAUCCACAAUUGAAUCACGGAUGGUGAAACCAGAGUUACAAAUGGGAGGCAUAGUGUGUGGAGGGAAGAUAACAGAGGAAGGCAAACAGGUCUUGGAUCAUGGAAAGUUGAAUGUACAAAGAGUGUCUGCUGUACAGGUUUGGGAAUGGGGAUUCCCAGGCUUGUGAGAAUUCCCCUUUCCGAGGGCACUCAAUUGAUGUAGUUAUUCCGGUUGCUUAAGAUGGUAGAGGAAAGAGGGACCAUCCAUGAUAAUUGGAAAGUGUUUCUGUAUCUAAACUAGUAGCAUUUUAAUUUCCACUUCUUUUACAUCCCUUUA
This is an RNA transcript of Ricinus communis (castor bean), 2560 nucleotides long. It is a transcript of the gene named pentatricopeptide repeat-containing protein At2g32630, with no coding region annotated. The transcript has 3 exons. The record is from RefSeq and is a predicted model, not a curated record. NCBI's taxonomy places the organism in Eukaryota, Viridiplantae, Streptophyta, Magnoliopsida, Malpighiales, Euphorbiaceae.